This is a long non-coding RNA of Hevea brasiliensis (rubber tree), 307 nucleotides long. RefSeq lists it as uncharacterized. The record is from RefSeq and is a predicted model, not a curated record. Lineage: Eukaryota; Viridiplantae; Streptophyta; Magnoliopsida; Malpighiales; Euphorbiaceae. The transcript is spliced from 2 exons.
CUUUAUAGAGGAAAUUAAAAAUCUUGUUCUCCAAUCUGGGAAGUGGAGCUCUUAGUGGCAGUAGCACUACGGAGGACACUCCUAGCUUGAAAUAAAUGGCCUCCCCACGGGAUGAAAGCACCCUCAAAAUCUAAAUGAGAGGGCUAAGCUUCCUGGCGAAUGAAGAGCAUCCCACAUGAGGAUGGCUUAGGAAGAAAAUCCUCCCACUAGAGUAUCAUUGGUAUAGAGUAAAUUAUAGUGAUGGAAUUAAUAUUUUUGUAAUAAACUCUGAUGGUCGUCAAUGUUAUGUAAAAAGGUACUUUUAAUA